This 323-nucleotide long non-coding RNA is filed under the name Vigna radiata. RNAcentral describes it as "long non-coding RNA (VRAD_LNC008099)". Lineage: Eukaryota; Viridiplantae; Streptophyta; Magnoliopsida; Fabales; Fabaceae. The record is from RNAcentral.
AAAUUAAGAACAAUAGCAUUAUCAUUCAAUAAAGGUAACAACAGAAGUAUGCUGAAAAUUAAAAGCCAAUGACAAUUACGGAAAAAAUGAAUAAUGAAUUUAAAGGACUAGACAAGAAAGAUAAAAGCAUGGAAAAAAAACAUUAGAAGGUGCUUCAAUUCAUCAUCAAAGUAAAACGAAGUUCAAGAUCAUGCAUCCUCAUCAUAUCAUUUCCCCUUACCCCAAAAAUUCCAAAGAUACACAAAUUCUUGACAGCCCCAUAGCCCCUACUUUAGUCUCGUUCCUUCAUGGGUUUAACUUUCAACAAUUGUUGUCACUCCCGG